GAUGAAGAACGUAGCGAAAUGCGAUAAGUAAUGUGAAUUGCAGAAUUCAGUGAAUCAUCGAAUCUUUGAACGCACAUUGCGCCCGCCAGUAUUCUGGCGGGCAUGCCUGUCCGAGCGUCAUUUCAACCAUCGCGCCCAUCUGGGCUGCGGUGUUGGGGACCGGCCUGCCCCCCCGGGGCGCGCCGCCCCCCAAAUUCAGUGGCGGUCUCGCUGCAGCCUCCCUUGCGUAGUAGCACACCUCGCACCGGAGCGCAGCGCGGCCACGCCGUAAAACCCCCGACCCCCAUGAGUUUGACCUCGGAUCAGGUAGGAAUACCCGCUGAACUUAAGCAUAUCAAUAAGCGGAGGA
Molecule: unclassified non-coding RNA, 349 nt
Filed under: soil metagenome
Description: partial contains 5.8S ribosomal RNA, internal transcribed spacer 2, and large subunit ribosomal RNA
Rfam family: 5.8S ribosomal RNA (bases 1-120)
Source: RNAcentral